UAUCGAAUCCCAUCUCCUUAUCUCAUGGAUUCAUGUUGACCCUCAUCUUGGAGGCCCUGAAUUAUCCUAGUGCCUAGUAGCCUGUUGGACCAACCAUCCAAUUUACAGUCUUCUUUUCUUAUGAUUGCAUUUAUCAAAUUAAAAUUAAUUAUACUUUUAAUAUGUUAAAUAGGUUUAAUAAAUUUGUCUAGCAAAGUUUGAAGGGCU
This 207-nucleotide long non-coding RNA is filed under the name Elaeis guineensis (African oil palm). RNAcentral's name for it is "long non-coding RNA (EGUI_LNC055083)". Lineage: Eukaryota; Viridiplantae; Streptophyta; Magnoliopsida; Arecales; Arecaceae. The record is from RNAcentral.